Molecule: ribosomal RNA, 139 nt
Filed under: uncultured bacterium
Lineage: Bacteria
Description: partial 16S ribosomal RNA
Rfam family: Bacterial small subunit ribosomal RNA
Source: RNAcentral
UGGGGAAUAUUGCACAAUGGGCGGAAGCCUGAUGCAGCAACGCCGCGUGCGGGAUGACGGCCUUCGGGUUGUAAACCGCUUUCGCCUGUGACGAAGCGUGAGUGACGGUCAAUGGGUAACGAAGCACCGGCACAACUAA